This 957-nucleotide long non-coding RNA is filed under the name Homo sapiens (human). RNAcentral describes it as "non-protein coding lnc-GZMK-3:1". Lineage: Eukaryota; Metazoa; Chordata; Mammalia; Primates; Hominidae. The record is from RNAcentral.
CAUCGCACCAUCAGCUUCAGAGGAUGGCAGCCAUUGAUUUGUCCCGUGGGUUUUUUUCCAGGGAACCAAUCUGCCCUUUUGAAGAAAAGACAAAGGUAGAAAGGAUGGUGGUAGACUACCUGGCAAUUGGUUAUCAGAAUGGGAAAUACAACCUAGAACCAAACGGUCAUCACUUCAGCAGGGUUUUUUGAAGAAUCAAAUAUUCAAUGGGAUACAAAUGACAAGAGGCUACAGUGGAUGGGAACUGUGUGACUGUAAGAAUUGUGGACAGGUCUUCAGUGAACAGUUUUGCCUUAAGACACACAUGAGAGCUCAGAAUGGAGGGAAACCUGUUUCCCAAUAAAUUUUAUUAGCUUUCCUCUUGGAAAAUUAGAACUUUUAACAUAACUGUGUUUCAGUGGUUUAAUAAGUAGAACAAAUUCACAGUCAAAUCCCUCAAAAUAUUUACUUGGAAUUUUGAGGUAGUCUUCUAGAAGUUCUCUGGAGCCACCUUCUUGAACUGUGAAAUUCUGUACCUGCAGAAAAAUCCACUUAGGCGUGGUGUCCACCAAGAUUUCGACUCUGCUCACAACUUGGAAACCAUUCAUCACAUCCAGGGAAAAACAGUCCUGUUCUUGGUUGGGGGAUGUCUGCACAUAAAGGAUAUUGCCAUCCUCCACAUCCGGUUGUGUGAAAGUCAAAGGGACUUUUCAUCUGCACCCAAGCUGCCUUCUUCUGGUAUAAAUUUUUGGAGGUAUCCAUGCAUUGGUGGAGUUCCGACUAUGAACACUGCCUCUGAAGGAAUAUUAUUCUCUGGCUCUGUAAUUGAGGGGCAGCUGCUUCCUGGUAAUGCAAUAAAACCCAAGGGCCCAAAAGAAAGGCUUAGAAUACUCCUCUCCCCUGCCCUCAACUCCCAAGUGCCUUUCCACCAAACUGCUGUGUGGGAAAGUCACCUCUCCAGCCUUGUCACUCCCGUAC